UACGUAGGGGGCAAGCGUUGUCCGGAUUCAUUGGGCGUAAAGAGCGUGUAGGCGGCCAGGUAGGUCGGUUGUGAAAACUGGAGGCUCAACCUUCAGAGGUCGACCGAAACCAUCUGGCUAGAGUCCAGGAGAGGAGAGUGGAAUUCCUGGUGUAGCGGUGAAAUGCGCAGAUAUCAGGAAGAACACCCGUGGCGAAAGCGGCUCUCUGGAACGGUACUGACGCUGAGACGCGAAAGCGUGGGGAGCGAACAGG
Molecule: ribosomal RNA, 253 nt
Filed under: uncultured bacterium
Lineage: Bacteria
Description: partial 16S ribosomal RNA
Rfam family: Bacterial small subunit ribosomal RNA
Source: RNAcentral